UUGAUCCUGGCUCAGAACGAACGCUUUCGGCGCGUUUUAAGCAUGCAAGUCGAGCGGCAAGGGUACUUCGGUACCCCUAGAGCGGCGGACGGGUGAGUAACACGUGGAUAACCUGCCCCCGGGUGCGGGAUAGCCCAGGGAAACCUGGAUUAAUACCUCGUAAGACCACGCUCUGUAGGGAGAGUGGGAAAAGGCGCUUCGGCGUCGCCUGGGGAUGGGUCCGCGUCCCAUUAGCUAGAUGGUAGGGUAAGAGCCUACCAUGGCGACGAUGGGUAGCCGGCCUGAGAGGGUGAACGGCCACACUGGAACUGAGACACGGUCCAGACUCCUACGGGAGGCAGCAGUGGGGAAUAUUGCACAAUGGGGGAAACCCUGAUGCAGCAACGCCGCGUGAGCGAUGAAUGCUUUCGAGUCGUAAAGCUCUGUCCUAAGGGAAGAUAAUGACGGUACCUUAGGAGGAAGCCCCGGCUAACUACGUGCCAGCAGCCGCGGUAAUACGUAGGGGGCAAGCGUUAUCCGGAAUUAUUGGGCGUAAAGGGUGCGUAGGCGGCCUUAUGGGUCAGAGGUUAAAUACUACGGCUUAACCGUAGUAUGCCUUUGAAACUAUAGGGCUUGAGUGCAGGAGAGGAGAGUGGAAUUCCUAGUGUAGCGGUGAAAUGCGUAGAUAUUAGGAGGAAUACCAGUGGCGAAGGCGACUCUCUGGACUGCAACUGGCGCUAAGGCACGAAAGCGUGGGUAGCGAACAGGAUUAGAUACCCUGGUAGUCCACGCUGUAAACGAUGAGUGCUAGGUGUUGGGGGUCAAACCUCGGUGCCGCAGUUAACGCAUUAAGCACUCCGCCUGGGGAGUACGUUCGCAAGAAUAAAACUCAAAGGAAUUGACGGGGACCCGCACAAGCAGCGGAGCAUGUGGUUUAAUUCGAAGCAACGCGAAGAACCUUACCUGGAUUUGACAUCCCUCUGACCGUCUCUUAAUCGAGAUUUUCCCUUCGGGGACAGAGGAGACAGGUGGUGCAUGGUUGUCGUCAGCUCGUGUCGUGAGAUGUUGGGUUAAGUCCCGCAACGAGCGCAACCCUUGUCUUUAGUUGCCAUCAAGUAAAGUUGGGCACUCUAAAGAGACUGCCAAGGUAAACUUGGAGGAAGGUGGGGAUGACGUCAAAUCAUCAUGCCCUUUAUGUCCAGGGCUACACACGUGCUACAAUGGCCGAUACAACGGGCAGCUAAGGAGCAAUCCGGAGCAAAUCCUACAAAAUCGGUCCCAGUUCGGAUUGUGGGCUGAAAUUCGCCCACAUGAAGUCGGAGUUGCUAGUAAUCGCGAAUCAGCAUGUCGCGGUGAAUGCGUUCCCGGGUCUUGUACACACCGCCCGUCA
Molecule: ribosomal RNA, 1369 nt
Filed under: uncultured bacterium
Lineage: Bacteria
Description: bacterial SSU rRNA
Rfam family: Bacterial small subunit ribosomal RNA
Source: RNAcentral